RNAcentral lists this ribosomal RNA (376 nucleotides) under uncultured bacterium. RNAcentral describes it as "bacterial SSU rRNA". It matches the Rfam family "Bacterial small subunit ribosomal RNA", at positions 524 to 898 of the family's 1533-position model. The record is from RNAcentral.
UACGUAGGGAGCGAGCGUUGUCCGGAAUCAUUGGGCGUAAAGAGCAUGUAGGUGGAUCAAUUAGUCUGCUGUGAAAGUCAAAGGCUCAACCUUUGAAAGCCGGUGGAUACUGUUGAUCUAGAGUACGGAAGAGGCGAGUGGAAUUCCUGGUGUAGCGGUGGAAUGCGCAGAUAUCAGGAGGAACACCAAUAGCGAAGGCAGCUCGCUGGGACGUAACUGACACUGAGAUGCGAAAGCGUGGGGAGCAAACAGGAUUAGAUACCCUGGUAGUCCACGCCGUAAACGAUGGGUACUAGGUGUGGGAGGUGUCGACUCCUCCCGUACCGUCGCUAACGCACUAAGUACCCCGCCUGGGGAGUACGGCCGCAAGGCUAAA